RNAcentral lists this ribosomal RNA (243 nucleotides) under uncultured bacterium. RNAcentral's name for it is "partial 16S ribosomal RNA". It matches the Rfam family "Bacterial small subunit ribosomal RNA", at positions 28 to 280 of the family's 1533-position model. The record is from RNAcentral.
GAUGAACGUUGGCGGCGUGCCUAACACAUGCAAGUCGAACGCUAGUAGCAAUAUUAGAGUGGCGCACGGGUGAGUAACACGUAGCUUACCCACCUCCCAGCGCGGGAUAACGGUUCGAAAGAACUGCUAAUACCGCAUAAGCUCACGGCCUGUAGAGGGCUGCGAGAAAAGGCGCAAGUCACUGGGAGACGGGGCUGCGGCCCAUCAGCUCGUUGGUGAGGAACGGCUUACCAAGGCGACGAC